ACGGGGCCCGCACAAGCAGCGAGCGUGUGGUUUAAUUCGAUGCAACGCGAAGAACCUUACCAGGGUUUGACAUGCUUAAAGUAGGAACUCGAAAGAGGGACGACCUGUAUCCAGUCAGGAGUUUGCACAGGUGCUGCAUGGCUGUCGUCAGCUCGUGCCGUGAGGUGUUAGGUUAAGUCCUGCAACGAGCGCAACCCUCGUCGCUAGUUGUUUUCUCUAGCGAUACUGCCCGUAUAACGUGGAGGAAGGUGGGGAUGACGUCAAGUCAGCAUGGCCCUUACAUCCUGGGCUACACACACGCUACAAUGGGUGAUACAACAGGUUGCAAUAGAGUAAUCUGGAGCCAAUCCCUAAAAUCAUCCUCAGUACGGAUUGCAGGCUGCAACUGCCUGCAUGAAGUUGGAGUUGCUAGUAAACGCAGGUCAGCACACUGCGUUGAACUACGUUCUCGGGCCUU
RNAcentral lists this ribosomal RNA (457 nucleotides) under uncultured Chloroflexota bacterium. RNAcentral describes it as "bacterial SSU rRNA". It matches the Rfam family "Bacterial small subunit ribosomal RNA", at positions 916 to 1381 of the family's 1533-position model. Lineage: Bacteria; Bacillati; Chloroflexota. The record is from RNAcentral.